Molecule: ribosomal RNA, 465 nt
Filed under: uncultured bacterium
Lineage: Bacteria
Description: bacterial SSU rRNA
Rfam family: Bacterial small subunit ribosomal RNA
Source: RNAcentral
CCUACGGGGGGCAGCAGUAGGGAAUCUUCCACAAUGGGCGAAAGCCUGAUGGAGCAACGCCGCGUGAGCGAAGAAGGUCUUCGGAUCGUAAAGCUCUGUUGUAAGGGAAGAACAAGUGCAGUAGUAACUGGCUGCACCUUGACGGUACCUUACUAGAAAGCCACGGCUAACUACGUGCCAGCAGCCGCGGUAAUACGUAGGUGGCAAGCGUUGUCCGGAAUUAUAGGGCGUAAAGCGCGCGCAGGCGGUUUCUUAAGUCUGAUGUGAAAGCCCCCGGCUUAACCGGGGAGGGUCAUUGGAAACUGGGAGACUUGAGUGCAGGAGAGGGAAGCGGAAUUCCAUGUGUAGCGGUGAAAUGCGUAGAGAUAUGGAGGAACACCAGUGGCGAAGGCGGCUUCCUGGCCUGUAACUGACACUGAGAGGCGAAAGCUAGGGGAGCGAAUGGGAUUAGAUACCCGAGUAGUC